AGAUUGAACGCUGGCGGCAUGCCUUACACAUGCAAGUCGAACGGUAGAGUAGCAAUACUUGAGAGUGGCGAACGGGUGAGUAAUAUAUCGGAACGUGCCCAGUCGUGGGGGAUAACGUAGAGAAAUUUACGCUAAUACCGCAUACGAUCUAAGGAUGAAAGCGGGGGACCGUAAGGCCUCGCGCGAUUGGAGCGGCUGAUAUCAGAUUAGGUUGUUGGUGAGGUAAAAGCUCACCAAGCCGACGAUCUGUAGCUGGUUUGAGAGAACGACCAGCCACACUGGGACUGAGACACGGCCCAGACUCCUACGGGAGGCAGCAGUGGGGAAUUUGGACAAUGGGCGCAAGCCUGAUCCAGCCAUGCCGCGUGUGGGAAGAAGGGCCUUCGGGUUGUAAACCACUUUUGUCAAGGAAGAACGGCUCUUACUAAUAUUAGGAGCUAAUGACGGUACCUGAAGAAUAAGCACCGGCUAACUACGUACCACGACAGACCGCGGUAACUACGUGUA
Molecule: ribosomal RNA, 507 nt
Filed under: uncultured soil bacterium
Lineage: Bacteria
Description: bacterial SSU rRNA
Rfam family: Bacterial small subunit ribosomal RNA
Source: RNAcentral